Molecule: ribosomal RNA, 778 nt
Filed under: uncultured Bacteroidota bacterium
Lineage: Bacteria; Pseudomonadati; Bacteroidota
Description: bacterial SSU rRNA
Rfam family: Bacterial small subunit ribosomal RNA
Source: RNAcentral
AGGGGUAUAGUUCUUCGGAGCUAGAGACCGGCGCACGGGUGCGUAACGCGUAUGCAAUCUACCUUUUACAGAGGGAUAGCCCAGAGAAAUUUGGAUUAAUACCUCAUAGUAUGUGAGAAUCGCAUGGUUUUCACAUUAAAGUUCCAACGGUAAAAGAUGAGCAUGCGUCCCAUUAGCUAGAUGGUAAGGUAACGGCUUACCAUGGCGACGAUGGGUAGGGGUCCUGAGAGGGAGAUCCCCCACACUGGUACUGAGACACGGACCAGACUCCUACGGGAGGCAGCAGUGAGGAAUAUUGGACAAUGGGCGCAAGCCUGAUCCAGCCAUGCCGCGUGCAGGAUGACGGUCCUAUGGAUUGUAAACUGCUUUUGUACAGGAAGAAACACUCCCUCGUGAGGGAGCUUGACGGUACUGUAAGAAUAAGGAUCGGCUAACUCCGUGCCAGCAGCCGCGGUAAUACGGAGGAUCCAAGCGUUAUCCGGAAUCAUUGGGUUUAAAGGGUCCGUAGGCGGUUUAAUAAGUCAGUGGUGAAAGCCCAUCGCUCAACGGUGGAACGGCCAUUGAUACUGUUAAACUUGAAUUAUUAGGAAGUAACUAGAAUAUGUAGUGUAGCGGUGAAAUGCUUAGAGAUUACAUGGAAUACCAAUUGCGAAGGCAGGUUACUACUAAUGGAUUGACGCUGAUGGACGAAAGCGUGGGUAGCGAACAGGAUUAGAUACCCUGGUAGUCCACGCCGUAAACGAUGGAUACUAGCUGUUGGGCGCAAGUUCAGUGGCUA